UGGAGAAGGUGUCUAAUGAGAAAGAGAUUUUCAAGUAUGGCCGAUUACCUACAGAUGGACGACAGGGUGUUAACAGAAAUGCCAGGCUGAGGCAUGAACAACACAUACUGAAGUCCCAAUAUUUAAAAUCUGGAUUCAUUAAAUUAAUGAGAACAUUGAAUUAGGAUUUAUAUGUGUCCCUGCUUGUUAUCCACCGGAUUGGAGGAGGGGGAGUGUGUUAAUACAAAGUACAUUGUAGCAUCUCAAAAAAACAACAUCUGAUGUUAUGCUGGGCACCUCUCUGUUUUUUUAUUUAAAGCUAGAAAGAAUUGAAGAAGCAGAAACAGCAUCUAUUGCCUUCAAACUAGCCCUACCAUCUGCUGUGCAUCUUAUUUGCAAAUAGAGAAGAAAGAUUAUUUGCAGCUGCAGCACAACAAAGUACGAUGGGAGUGAGAGAAAUGGCUGGAUACCAAUGAAAGGUUCUUACCAAAUGAACAGAGAUAUAAUAACGAAAAGGAUCGGGUAGGGCUAGGCCGCCCCUAUCCUUUGCUAGGAGCAUAGAGCUAUCAACUGACCUCGCAGGACACAUUUGUGAGCUUCCCAAAGAAUCCCAGGGUUGGUAUCAGCUCACCUUUCAGUGACGCAGUCAUAUCCUGAAGCAUCUCCUUGAUAUCUGAGCGAGAGGGGAGAUUAGCGAGAACUAGGACACAGUUAUAGUAUACUGCAGCUCUGUGUAUUUGCUGAUGAACUAGGAGCAACAUUUGCGAUAUAAAGUUCAACCAAGCAGUACCUUCUCGAUGGGAGACAGAACAUCUCCCAGGCAACACAAGCAGCAGCUGAUGACCUGAUCUACGAGAACCUUAGCUCGCUAGUAUGGAUUUUUAAACAUUAUCUGGUUGCUAGGAUGCCAAAGAACCUAACUAUCUGGAAGAUGAAUAGGAGAGACACUCAAGAAAAAUACAA
Xenopus laevis (African clawed frog) is the source of this 942-nucleotide long non-coding RNA. RefSeq lists it as uncharacterized. NCBI's taxonomy places the organism in Eukaryota, Metazoa, Chordata, Amphibia, Anura, Pipidae. The transcript is spliced from 6 exons. The record is from RefSeq and is a predicted model, not a curated record.